This 253-nucleotide ribosomal RNA is filed under the name uncultured bacterium. Its description in RNAcentral is "partial 16S ribosomal RNA". It matches the Rfam family "Bacterial small subunit ribosomal RNA", at positions 524 to 776 of the family's 1533-position model. The record is from RNAcentral.
UACGAAGGGGGCUAGCGUUGCUCGGAAUCACUGGGCGUAAAGCGCACGUAGGCGGCUUCUUAAGUCAGGGGUGAAAUCUUGGAGCUUAACUCCGAAACUGCAUUCGAUACUGCCGUGCUUGAGGACUGGAGAGGAGACUGGAAUUUACGGUGUAGCGGUGAAAUGCGUAGAUAUCGUAAGGAAGACCAGUGGCGAAGGCGGGUCUCUGGACAGUUCCUGACGCUGAGGCACGAAGGCCAGGGGAGCAAACGGG